RNAcentral lists this ribosomal RNA (211 nucleotides) under uncultured bacterium. RNAcentral describes it as "partial 16S ribosomal RNA". It matches the Rfam family "Bacterial small subunit ribosomal RNA", at positions 1290 to 1500 of the family's 1533-position model. The record is from RNAcentral.
AGCUCAGAUUGCAGGCUGCAACUCGCCUGCAUGAAGUCGGAAUUGCUAGUAAUCGUAGGUCAGCAUACUACGGUGAAUACGUUCCCGGGCCUUGUACACACCGUCCGUCACACCAUGGGAGUCAGUAACGCCCGAAGCCGGUGACCCAACCAAACGGAGGGAGCCGUCGAAGGUGGGACCGAUAACUGGGGUGAAGUCGUAACAAGGUAAC